Molecule: ribosomal RNA, 379 nt
Filed under: uncultured eukaryote
Lineage: Eukaryota
Description: partial 18S ribosomal RNA
Rfam family: Eukaryotic small subunit ribosomal RNA
Source: RNAcentral
CAAUAGCGUAUAUUAAAGUUGUUGCGGUUAAAAAGCUCGUAGUUGGAUUUCUGCCGAGGACGACCGGUCCGCCCUCUGGGUGAGUAUCUGGCUCGGCCUGGGCAUCUUCUUGGAGAACGUAGCUGCACUUGACUGUGUGGUGCGGUAUCCAGGACUUUUACUUUGAGGAAAUUAGAGUGUUUCAAGCAGGCUUACGCCUUGAAUACAUUAGCAUGGAAUAAUAAGAUAGGACCUCGGUUCUAUUUUGUUGGUUUCUAGAGCUGAGGUAAUGAUUAAUAGGGAUAGUUGGGGGCAUUCGUAUUUAACUGUCAGAGGUGAAAUUCUUUGAUUUGUUAAAGACGGACUACUGCGAAAGCAUUUGCCAAGGAUGUUUNCAUUG